UACAGAGGGUGCAAGCGUUAAUCGGAGUUACUGGGCGUAAAGGGCGCGUAGGCGGUCAGAUGAGUGUGAUGUGAAAGCCCCGGGCUUAACCUGGGAAGUGCAUCGCAAACGAUCUGACUGGAGUAGAUGAGAGGGUGGCGGAAUUUCCGGUGUAGCGGUGAAAUGCGUAGAGAUCGGAAGGAACGUCAAUGGCGAAGGCAGCCACCUGGCAUCAUACUGACGCUGAUGCGCGAAAGCGUGGGUAGCGAACAGG
This 253-nucleotide unclassified non-coding RNA is filed under the name uncultured Gammaproteobacteria bacterium. RNAcentral describes it as "contains 16S-23S intergenic spacer region". It matches the Rfam family "Bacterial small subunit ribosomal RNA", at positions 524 to 776 of the family's 1533-position model. Lineage: Bacteria; Pseudomonadati; Pseudomonadota; Gammaproteobacteria. The record is from RNAcentral.